AUUGAACGCUGGCGGCAUGCCUUACACAUGCAAGUCGAACGGCAGCACGGGAGCAAUCCUGGUGGCGAGUGGCGAACGGGUGAGUAAUAUAUCGGAACGUGCCCAGUCGUGGGGGAUAACGUAGCGAAAGCUACGCUAAUACCGCAUACGAUCUAUGGAUGAAAGCGGGGGAUCGCAAGACCUCGCGCGAUUGGAGCGGCCGAUAUCAGAUUAGGUAGUUGGUGAGGUAAAGGCUCACCAAGCCGACGAUCUGUAGCUGGUCUGAGAGGACGACCAGCCACACUGGAACUGAGACACGGCCCAGACUCCUACGGGAGGCAGCAGUGGGGAAUUUUGGACAAUGGGCGCAAGCCUGAUCCAGCAAUGCCGCGUGCAGGAUGAAGGCCUUCGGGUUGUAAACUGCUUUUGUACGGAACGAAACGGUGAGCUCUAAUACAGUUUGCUAAUGACGGUACCGUAAGAAUAAGCACCGGCUAACUACGUG
This 484-nucleotide ribosomal RNA is filed under the name uncultured bacterium. RNAcentral's name for it is "bacterial SSU rRNA". It matches the Rfam family "Bacterial small subunit ribosomal RNA", at positions 30 to 507 of the family's 1533-position model. The record is from RNAcentral.